AACGUAGGUUCCGAGCGUUAUCCGGAUUUACUGGGCGUAAAGCGCGUUCAGGCGGUUUGGCAAGUCGGGCAUGAAAUCUCUCGGCUCAACCGGGAGAGGUUGUCCGAUACUGCUGGACUUGAGGGCAGUAGAGGGUGGUGGAAUUCCGGGUGUAGUGGUGAAAUGCGUAGAUAUCCGGAGGAACAUCAGUGGCGAAAGCGGCCACCUGGACUGCACCUGACGCUGACACGCGAAAGCUAGGGGAGCGAACGGG
RNAcentral lists this ribosomal RNA (253 nucleotides) under uncultured bacterium. Its description in RNAcentral is "partial 16S ribosomal RNA". It matches the Rfam family "Bacterial small subunit ribosomal RNA", at positions 524 to 776 of the family's 1533-position model. The record is from RNAcentral.